GCCUACCAAAUCGGCAUAUCGACACAGAUGCGGUAGAAGGCAAGCGAGGCACAGAAGCAGCACAGAAAUGAGGGCGCGCGCGUUUCCAAUCUGGGCAAAUUUGAUUUAAAAGCAUCAACGGAGGCCCGUGGGCCCCUUCAAUGCGCUGCUGUGCUCUAGUUUCAACGAGCGACAAAGAAAGCGAUAAAAAAGGCACAGCACAGCACACACACACACCACAAAUAGAGAUGGAUUAAUGAUGGUCCUAGAACCGAGCGGGGAAAGUGUGACCCGCAAAGUGGCCUGAAUUUUAUUGAAAGCUUUUGCUCUUUCCAGAGUGGUUUCCAUUUCUGAUAAUCGGCUGAAGAAGGAAAAAUCAUCGCAGAAGCGGCGAGUGCAAUAUAAAAAAAAAGUAAAAUCUUCACUAUUUCACCUACUGAUAAACAUCAUAGGAAAACUACUUACAGAAUAGAAAACAAUCGACAUACGGCUCUUUCACCAGAUCAUUUAUUUUCCUUUCUGACUGCUGUGCUAAUUAUUUAUUGGAAAUUACGGCCCCAUCAAAGCGAGGGCAUUCGUAGCGUCGUGUCAAGCUCUUGGCGUGAUACACCGCAUGUCGUACGUUCAAGUCCUAAUCUAACCACAACACAUGAGUCAAAAAUCACAAUACUUUCAACUAGGCAUGGGCAAAACGAUUCUUUUCACCGAACGCGAACGAACUAGUUCGCUCACCAAAAAGAACCGAACGUGAACGACGAUUCUUUCGUUCUUUUUUUCAUGGGGUUUUUAUUCACAAAGAACAUUCGUUAUUUUUUUCAUUUACCCACCAUAGACGCAUACUGUAGCCAAAGAAGUACUCAUUCUGCGGUUGAAACCAAUCAUUUAAAAACAUUAAAUAAAUCAGCCCAUCUGCUGUCUGGUCAACACAAUCUAUCGCAAAACCGACCAAAAACUAGCAUGUAAAAAACUAAUACGAGCAAAAAUGUCUCCAGCAUAUAUUGUACCCUAUGUCUUAUACACACUCAAGGAUUCUAUAAAAAAAAACUACUUAAACAUGGAUAAACAUGAUGAGCGCAAUCAAUUCAGUUCAGUUCAUUCGCGAACAAUGACUAAUGCGUUUGAACGGGCUCGAUCUAUUGAAUUGUAUAGGUAUAAUUUACACACCAACAGAACACAGAUCGAACACCAGUUCGAACGCGUUCGAUGAAUUCAGUUGUGUAGGUACGAUUUACAUACCAACAGAACACAGAUCGAACACUAACCGAUCAGAUCGAACGCGUUCGAUGAAUUCAGUUGUGUAGGUACGAUUUCCACACCAACAGAACACAGAUCGAACACCAGUUCGAACGCGUUCGAUGAAUUCAGUUGUGUAGGUACGAUUUCCACACCAACAGAACACAGAUCGAACACCAGUUCGAACGCGUUCGAUGAAUUCAGUUGUGUAGGUACGAUUUACACACCAACAGAACACAGAUCGAACACCAGUUCGAACGCGUUCGAUAAAUUCAGUCGUAUAGAUACGAUUU
Molecule: long non-coding RNA, 1505 nt
Organism: Anopheles coluzzii
Lineage: Eukaryota; Metazoa; Arthropoda; Insecta; Diptera; Culicidae
Exons: 4
Source: RefSeq, a predicted model, not a curated record